GACAAAGCAAGUGAGCGUUUUGCUUCGUGGGCUUCAGUUUCCAAACGGUGUCUCCAUGAGCAAGGAUUACUCCUUCCUAGUGUUUGCUGAAACCACCAAUGGAAAGUAAGUGUUCGCCAUCUCGAUCUAUCUAUCUAGCUCUCUAUCCAACUUACAACUUUGCUUUGAUCCAGAUUGACUCGCUACUGGCUCAAAGGUCCCAAAGCUGGAACUCCAGAGCUCUUCGCUAUCCUGCCGGGCCACCCAGACAACGUUAGAACUAACGAAAAUGGAGAGUUUUGGGUAGCGAUACAUGCCUUGAGAAAACCCGUGAUGCGUUUCCUGGGGCCCCGUCCAAGGCUGAGAGACUUCCUCGUCAAGCUCCCAAUCCCUGCCA
RNAcentral lists this long non-coding RNA (376 nucleotides) under Selaginella moellendorffii. RNAcentral describes it as "long non-coding RNA (SMOE_LNC001646)". The record is from RNAcentral. Lineage: Eukaryota; Viridiplantae; Streptophyta; Lycopodiopsida; Selaginellales; Selaginellaceae.